GAAGGGCUUCGGCCCCGGUACAGUGGCGCACGGGUGAGUAACACGUGGAUAAUCUUCUCCCGGGCGGGGGAUAACCUUCCGAAAGGAGGGCUAAUACCGCAUAAGCCCACGGCUUCGAAAGAAGCUGCGGGAAAAGCAGGCCUCUAUACAUAAGCUUGCACCUGGGAAUGAGUCCGCGGCCCAUCAGCUAGUUGGCGGGGUAAUGGCCCACCAAGGCAAAGACGGGUAGCUGGUCUGAGAGGAUGAUCAGCCACACUGGAACUGAGACACGGUCCAGACUCCUACGGGAGGCAGCAGUGGGGAAUCUUGCGCAAUGGGCGAAAGCCUGACGCAGCGACGCCGCGUGAGUGAUGAAGGCCUUCGGGUUGUAAAGCUCUGUGGGGAGAGAAGAAUAAGUAUU
This 400-nucleotide ribosomal RNA is filed under the name uncultured bacterium. Its description in RNAcentral is "bacterial SSU rRNA". It matches the Rfam family "Bacterial small subunit ribosomal RNA", at positions 72 to 457 of the family's 1533-position model. The record is from RNAcentral.